RNAcentral lists this ribosomal RNA (460 nucleotides) under uncultured bacterium. Its description in RNAcentral is "partial 16S ribosomal RNA". It matches the Rfam family "Bacterial small subunit ribosomal RNA", at positions 338 to 795 of the family's 1533-position model. The record is from RNAcentral.
CCUACGGGUGGCAGCAGUGAGGAAUAUUGGUCAAUGGACGAGAGUCUGAACCAGCCAAGUAGCGUGAAGGAUGACUGCCCUAUGGGUUGUAAACUUCUUUUCUCUGGGAAUAAAAUGUUCCACGUGUGGGAUUUUGUAUGUACCAUCUGAAUAAGGAUCGGCUAACUACGUGCCAGCAGCCGCGGUAAUACGGAGGAUCCGAGCGUUAUCCGGAUUUCGUGGGUUUAAAGGGAGCGUAGGUGGAUUGUUAAGUCAGUUGUGAAAGUUUGCGGCUCAACCGUAACAUUGCAGUUGACACUGGCAGUCUUGAGUACAGUAUAGGUGGGCGGAAGUCGUGGUGUAGCGGUGAAAGGCUUAGAUAUCACGAAGAACUCCGAUUGCGAAGGCAGCUCACUGGACUGCAACUGACACUGAGGCUCGAAAGUGUGGGUAUCAAACAGGAUUAGAUACCCCAGUAGUC